AGGACGAACGCUGGCGGCGUGCUUAACACAUGCAAGUCGAGCGGAAAGGCCCUUCGGGGUACUCGAGCGGCGACCGGGUGAGUAACACGUGACUAACCUACCUUCGAGUGGGGGAUAACCUCGGGAAACCGAGGCUAAUACCGCAUAACAUCGUGAGAUCAAAGCAGUAAUGCGCUGGAAGAGGGGGUCGCGGCUGAUUAGCUAGUUGGCGGGGUAAUGGCCCACCAAGGCGAAGAUCGGUAG
RNAcentral lists this ribosomal RNA (243 nucleotides) under uncultured bacterium. Its description in RNAcentral is "partial small subunit ribosomal RNA". It matches the Rfam family "Bacterial small subunit ribosomal RNA", at positions 26 to 286 of the family's 1533-position model. The record is from RNAcentral.